RNAcentral lists this ribosomal RNA (460 nucleotides) under uncultured bacterium. Its description in RNAcentral is "partial 16S ribosomal RNA". It matches the Rfam family "Bacterial small subunit ribosomal RNA", at positions 338 to 795 of the family's 1533-position model. The record is from RNAcentral.
CCUACGGGUGGCAGCAGUGAGGAAUAUUGGUCAAUGGGCGCGAGCCUGAACCAGCCAAGUAGCGUGAAGGAUGACUGCCCUACGGGUUGUAAACUUCUUUUAUCAAGGAAUAAAGUGAGGCCCGUGUGCCCUUUUGUAUGUACUUUAUGAAUAAGGAUCGGCUAACUCCGUGCCAGCAGCCGCGGUAAUCCGGAGGAUCGGAGCGUUACCCGGAUUUAUUGGGUUUAAAGGGAGCGUAGGUGGGUUGUUAAGUCAGUUGUGAAAGUUUGCGGGUCAACCGUAAAAUUGCAAUUGAUACUGGCAGUCUUGAGUACAGUUGAGGUAGGCGGAAUGCGUGGUGUAGCGGUGAAAUGCUUAGAUAUCACGAAGAACUCCGAUUGCGAAGGCAGCUUACUAAACUGCCACUGACAUUGAUGCUCGAAAGUGUGGGUAUCAAACAGGAUUAGAUACCCCGGUAGUC